Molecule: unclassified non-coding RNA, 273 nt
Organism: Cavia aperea (Brazilian guinea pig)
Lineage: Eukaryota; Metazoa; Chordata; Mammalia; Rodentia; Caviidae
Gene: 7SK
Rfam family: 7SK RNA
About the family: 7SK was discovered as an abundant small nuclear RNA in the mid-70s but a possible function has only recently been suggested. Two independent studies have found that 7SK RNA binds the CDK9/cyclin T complex (known as elongation factor P-TEFb).
Source: Ensembl
GGAUAUGAGGGCGAUCUGGCUGGGACAUCUCUCACCCCAUUGAUCACCAGCGUUGAUUCAGCUGGCCACCCUCAAUACUGCAUGUGUGUGUCCCUCUGGAAGACAGACGACCACCCCAUAGAGGGUGACCCUUCCUCAGUCAAGGGUGUACGAGUAGCUGCACUCCCCUGCUAGAACCUCCAAACAAGCUAGAUAGAUAAAUGGCAGUGAAGGAUAUGAUAAAUGUUUCCACCAUUUUUCCUACUCUGCUAAUGACCCAGAUGACCAGGUUAG